CGUAUACUAAAAGAGUAAAGAAACUUUGGAUUUUAAAUGCUAAAAAGGAGAAGAGAAUUUACGAGUUUAUUUUUAGGGUAAAAUCUUUAAAUAAAUAUUUUUUUCAAAUUUAUUUUUUUUUGAAGUUUUAAAAUGAGACUAGGAUUAGAUACCCUAUUAUUAAUAAAAGUAAAGAAAUUAGGUAGUAUUAGAUGGCUUGAAACUUAAAGAAUUUGGCGGUAUUUUAAUCUAAUUAGAGGAACUUGUGUUUUUAUUCGAAAUUACUCGUCAAAUCUUACUUAAAUUUUGUUUGUAUAUCGUCGUAAAAAUAAAACUUUAAAGUGAAUAUUUAAAUUUAUAAAGUAAAGAAAUACAGAUCCAGGUUCAGCAUAUUUAAGGAGAACAUGAGUUACAAUAUUUGAAAAAUAAAUGAAUAAUUGUUUGAAAAGGAGUUUGAAGGUGGAUUUAAAAGUAAAUUAAAGGAAAAAGUAAGU
This 473-nucleotide ribosomal RNA is filed under the name Orthochirus sp. AVDM-2012. Its description in RNAcentral is "partial 12S ribosomal RNA". The record is from RNAcentral. Lineage: Eukaryota; Metazoa; Arthropoda; Arachnida; Scorpiones; Buthidae.